This is a long non-coding RNA of Salvelinus fontinalis (brook trout), 1739 nucleotides long. RefSeq lists it as uncharacterized. The transcript has 2 exons. The record is from RefSeq and is a predicted model, not a curated record. NCBI's taxonomy places the organism in Eukaryota, Metazoa, Chordata, Actinopteri, Salmoniformes, Salmonidae.
UCUGAUGGGAGAGACCAGGGUAUUGCAAAUCAUUUUCAUAUCACAUCAGAAUGUUAAUGUUUCCAGGUAUUAAAGGACCACAUCAGAAUGUUUCCAGGUAUUAAAGGACCACAUCAGAAUGUUAAUGUUUCCAGGUAUUAAAGGACCACAUCAGAAUGUUAAUGUUUCUAGGUAUUAAAGGACCACAUCAGAAUAUUAAUGUUUCUAGGUAUUAAAGGACCACAUCAGAAUGUUUCUAGGUAUUAAAGGACCACAUCAGAAUGUUAAUGUUUCUAGUUAUUAAAGGACCACAUCAGAAUGUUAAUGUUUCUAGGUAUUAAAGGACCACAGCAGAAUGUUAAUGUUUCCAGGUAUUAAAGGACCACAUCAGAAUGUUAAUGUUUCUAGGUAUUAAAGGACCACAUCAGAAUGUUUCUUGUUAUUAAAGGACCACAUCAGAAUAUUAAUGUUUCCAGGUAUUAAAGGACCACAUCAGAAUGUUUCUUGUUAUUAAAGGACCACAUCAGAAUGUUAAUGUUUCCAGGUAUUAAAGGACCACAUCAGAAUAUUAAUGUUUCUAGGUAUUAAAGGACCACAUCAGAAUGUUAAUGUUUCUAGGUAUUAAAGGACCACAUCAGAAUGUUAAUGUUUCUAGGUAUUAAAGGACCACAUCAGAAUAUUAAUGUUUCUAGGUAUUAAAGGACCACAUCAGAAUGUUUCUAGGUAUUAGAGGACCACAUCAGAAUAUUAAUGUUUCCAGGUAUUAAAGGACCACAUCAGAAUGUUAAUGUUUCUAGGUAUUAAAGGACCACAUCAGAAUGUUUCUAGGUAUUAAAGGACCACAUCAGAAUGUUAAUGUUUCUAGGUAUUAAAGGACCACAUCAGAAUGUUAAUGUUUCCAGGUAUUAAAGGACCACAUCAGAAUGUUAAUGUUUCUAGGUAUUAAAAGACCACAUCAGAAUGUUAAUGUUUCUAGGUAUUAAAAGACCACAUCAGAAUGUUAAUGUUUCUAGGUAUUAAAAGACCACAUCAGAAUGUUAAUGUUUCUAGGUAUUAAAAGACCACAUCAGAAUGUUAAUGUUUCCAGGUAUUAAAGGACCAAGGACAGGUUAUCUAAGACUUGCUGAAAGAUCAUAUGUUAUACUGUAUGGUGACAUUGUUAAAGUAUUUGGUUUUUCCAUUUAUGUUUUGAGGUUGGGCUUUAGCACGUUAGUAUGUGGGGCGCACCGAUUGGUGUCACCUCAUGAUGUCUAAGAGUGGCUGGCCCAGUGCUCCAGUUGGCUUGAGAGAUGUUGAAAGAGUGGCACCUCUUUGUAGCAUUGCUUCUUUAAGUUGAUAAAGUAUUUUGGGUUCAUAUCUUAGAUUUCGUUUGUGCCACUUUUGUAUUUACUCCAUAUUCUAAGUUGUUUUUUGUUUUAGUUUGCCUGGGGCCACUUUAGUGGGCACUCAUGGUGGGUGUCUUUGUCACGCCCUGACCAUAGAGAGCUUUUUAUUCUCUAUGUUGGUUUGGUCGGGGUGUGACUAGGGUGGGUCAUCUAGGUAAUUAUAUUUCUAUGUUGGCCUGGUAUGGUUCCCAAUCAGAGGCAGCUGUUAAUCGUUGUCUCUGGUUGGGGAUCAUAUUUAGGCAGCCAUUUCCCCUUUGUGCUUUGUGGGAUCUUGACUAUGUAUAGUUGCCUGUGAGCACUAUAGCAGCUUCACGUUUGUUUUGUAUUUAUUGUUCUUUUUGAGUUUCACUUCAUAAUAAAGAGGAUGGAACCAUA